GACGGACGCUGGCGGCGUGCCUAAUACAUGCAAGUAGAACGCACAGUUUAUACCGUAGCUUGCUACACCAUAGACUGUGAGUUGCGAACGGGUGAGUAACGCGUAGGUAACCUGCCUGGUAGCGGGGGAUAACUAUUGGAAACGAUAGCUAAUACCGCAUAAUAUUGAUUAUUGCAUGAUAAUUGAUUGAAAUAUGCUAUUGCAUCACUACAAGAUGGACCUGCGUUGUAUUAGCUAGUAGGUGAGGUAACGGCUCACCUAGGCGAUGAUACAUAGCCGACCUGAGAGGGUGAUCGGCCACGCUGGGACUGAGACACGGCCCAGAGUCCUACGUGAGGCAGCAGUAGGGAAUCUUCGGAAAUGGACGAAAGUCUGACCGAGCAACGCCGCGUGAGUGAAGAAGGUUUUCGGAGCGUAAAGCUCUGUUGUACGAGAAGAACGGGUGUGAGAGUGGAAAGUUCACACUGUGACGGUAUCUUACCAGAAAGGGACGGCUAACUACGUG
RNAcentral lists this ribosomal RNA (505 nucleotides) under uncultured bacterium. RNAcentral describes it as "partial 16S ribosomal RNA". It matches the Rfam family "Bacterial small subunit ribosomal RNA", at positions 28 to 507 of the family's 1533-position model. The record is from RNAcentral.